AGUGAACGCUGGCGGUAGGCCUAACACAUGCAAGUCGAACGGCAGCACAGUAAGAGCUUGCUCUUACGGGUGGCGAGUGGCGGACGGGUGAGGAAUACAUCGGAAUCUACUUUUUCGUGGGGGAUAACGUAGGUAAACUUACGCUAAUACCGCAUAUCCCCUACGGGUGAAAGCAGGGGAUAUUCGGACCUUGCGCGGUUGAAUGAGCCGAUGUCGGAGUAGCUAGUUGGCGGGGUAAAGGCCCACCAAGGCGACGAUCCGUAGCUGGUGUGAGAGGAUGGUCAGCCACACUGGAACUGAGACACGGUCCAGACGACUACGAGAGGCAGCAGUGGGGAAUAUUGGACAAUGGGGGCAAGCCUGAUCCAGCGAUACCGCGUGGGUGAAGAAGGCGUUCGGGUUGUAAAGCCCUUUUGUGGGGAGAGAAAAGCAGCCGGUUAAUACCCCGCGGUACUGACGGUACCCAAAGAAUAAGCACCGGCUAACUUCGUG
RNAcentral lists this ribosomal RNA (492 nucleotides) under uncultured bacterium. RNAcentral's name for it is "partial 16S ribosomal RNA". It matches the Rfam family "Bacterial small subunit ribosomal RNA", at positions 29 to 507 of the family's 1533-position model. The record is from RNAcentral.